This 132-nucleotide small RNA is filed under the name Latilactobacillus sakei. RNAcentral describes it as "Lactobacillus sakei L20_leader". It matches the Rfam family "Ribosomal protein L20 leader". From Rfam's summary of the family: This family is a putative r-protein leader autoregulatory structure found in B. subtilis and other low-GC Gram-positive bacteria. It is located in the 5' untranslated regions of mRNAs encoding initiation factor 3 followed by ribosomal proteins L35 and L20 (infC-rpmI-rplT). Lineage: Bacteria; Bacillati; Bacillota; Bacilli; Lactobacillales; Lactobacillaceae. The record is from RNAcentral.
GAAAUAAAGCAGAAGUUCCCGCUUCUCGCCUUAGUAGACACUUGAUGUCUCUGGGCUGAUAGUUUCUAAUUCGGACGAAUUAAGUUAUCGAAUAGCGGGCCUUUCUGUUGAAGGGGCCGUUUUUUUGGUGCU